UAGAGUUUGAUCCUGGCUCAGAUUGAACGCUGGCGGCAGGCCUAACACAUGCAAGUCGAACGGCAGCACAGAAGAGCUUGCUCUUUGGGUGGCGAGUGGCGGACGGGUGAGUAAUGUCUGGGAAACUGCCCGAUGGAGGGGGAUAACUACUGGAAACGGUGGCUAAUACCGCAUAACGUCGCAAGACCAAAGUGGGGGACCUUCGGGCCUCACACCAUCGGAUGUGCCCAGAUGGGAUUAGCUAGUAGGUGGGGUAACGGCUCACCUAGGCGACGAUCCCUAGCUGGUCUGAGAGGAUGACCAGCCACACUGGAACUGAGACACGGUCCAGACUCCUACGGGAGGCAGCAGUGGGGAAUAUUGCACAAUGGGCGCAAGCCUGAUGCAGCCAUGCCGCGUGUAUGAAGAAGGCCUUCGGGUUGUAAAGUACUUUCAGCGGGGAGGAAGGCGACGCGGUUAAUAACCGCGUCGAUUGACGUUACCCGCAGAAGAAGCAUCGGCUAACUCCGUGCCAGCAGCCGCGGUAAUACGGAGGGUGCAAGCGUUAAUCGGAAUUACCGGGCGUAAAGCGCACGCAGGCGGUCUGUCAAGUCGGAUGUGAAAUCCCCGGGCUUAACCUGGGAACUGCAUUCGAAACUGGCAUGCUAGAGUCUUGUAGAGGGGGGUAGAAUUCCAGGUGUAGCGGUGAAAUGCGUAGAGAUCUGGAGGAAUACCGGUGGCGAAGGCGGCCUCCUGGACAAGGACUGACGCUCAGUGCGAAAGCGUGGGGAGCAAACAGAUUAGAUACCCUGUAGUCCACGCCGUAAACGAUGUCGACUU
RNAcentral lists this ribosomal RNA (819 nucleotides) under uncultured bacterium. RNAcentral's name for it is "bacterial SSU rRNA". It matches the Rfam family "Bacterial small subunit ribosomal RNA", at positions 1 to 818 of the family's 1533-position model. The record is from RNAcentral.